GUGCCUAAUACAUGCAAGUCGAGCGGACAGAUGGGAGCUUGCUCCCUGAUGUUAGCGGCGGACGGGUGAGUAACACGUGGGUAACCUGCCUGUAAGACUGGGAUAACUCCGGGAAACCGGGGCUAAUACCGGAUGGUUGUUUGAACCGCAUGGUUCAGACAUAAAAGGUGGCUUCGGCUACCACUUACAGAUGGACCCGCGGCGCAUUAGCUAGUUGGUGAGGUAACGGCUCACCAAGGCAACGAUGCGUAGCCGACCUGAGAGGGUGAUCGGCCACACUGGGACUGAGACACGGCCCAGACUCCUACGGGAGGCAGCAGUAGGGAAUCUUCCGCAAUGGACGAAAGUCUGACGGAGCAACGCCGCGUGAGUGAUGAAGGUUUUCGGAUCGUAAAGCUCUGUUGUUAGGGAAGAACAAGUGCCGUUCAAAUAGGGCGGCACCUUGACGGUACCUAACCAGAAAGCCACGGCUAACUACGUGCCAGCAGCCGCGGUAAUACGUAGGUGGCAAGCGUUGUCCGAAUUAUUGGGCGUAAGGGCUCGCAGGCGGUUCUUAAUCU
This 560-nucleotide ribosomal RNA is filed under the name Bacillus sp. Ni19. Its description in RNAcentral is "bacterial SSU rRNA". It matches the Rfam family "Bacterial small subunit ribosomal RNA", at positions 44 to 588 of the family's 1533-position model. The record is from RNAcentral. Lineage: Bacteria; Bacillati; Bacillota; Bacilli; Caryophanales; Bacillaceae.